Syngnathus typhle (broad-nosed pipefish) is the source of this 860-nucleotide long non-coding RNA. RefSeq lists it as uncharacterized. NCBI's taxonomy places the organism in Eukaryota, Metazoa, Chordata, Actinopteri, Syngnathiformes, Syngnathidae. The transcript is spliced from 3 exons. The record is from RefSeq and is a predicted model, not a curated record.
UGAGUGUUGGUAAGGGGUGGGGGCGCUACAUGGCCUAAGUUUCCAUUCAGACAAGCUGUGCAAUGUGGAGUCUUUCAGCUCCUGAAACCUGUGGCAGCAACCAGGGUAGUAUCAGAGGACAACAGACAUUAGUCCUCAGCUCCCAAGAGGACAACAUGUGCAAAGAAGGAACAGCCGGCGCCUGAUGUCCGCCCCCAGUGCCCACUCAAAGAAGUGAGGGGUCAAAGGUGCAGCAGUGAAGGUGAAAAUGCAUCUCUGACCUCUUCUGUUUGUUCAAGGUGGCCUCUAUGCAGAUCAAGGCAUCAAGUUCAGCUCUAAGACUCCCCUCUUCUUCCAAGAGAAAGUUGUCUCUUUCAUUUUCACUGGCACAAGACCUGCUUCAUUCUUUUUCAACGGCCUCUUUUAUUUCUCUCCGUCUUUGCCUGCCUCAAUCUUGCCAUUUUCUCAUAACCUCUCUUUUAAAUCUGCAUCAUGUGCGUUUCUCUUCGAGUUAUCUUUUCUCUUUAUCUUAGCUCUCUUUCAUUUUUAAAUCUUCUGUGGUACCAACCAUCCCUGAUCCUUGUUCUACCCUUCUAUGGCUCUCUCGGUGUGGCCUAGACACCCUGUAGUCUGGAAACGGGCCCGUCGCAGCCCUGCCCUUGUGGUCCUCUGCACAGCCCCGUGGGUAAUGGGCAUUGUGUAUUCCCACUGAUCCCUGACGGAGCCAUAUUGUGCCUCGGUGGGAUGUCAGGCGCACAAAGCCAACCAGCCUGCCACAUUGUCUCACACUCCAAAUGAAGAAGUUCCUCCUCUGGCUCCCAACACGGCCUUGAAAUGUCAAAAGGGGAAGGAGCAGGCGAAGAGUGUUGGUGUGUUUUGAA